CCAGGCUAAUUUUUGUAUUUUUAGUAGAGACAGGGUUUCACCAUGUUGGUCAGACUGGUCUCGAUCUCCUGGACCUGGUGAUUCACUGGCCUCGGCCUCCCAAAGUGCUGGGAUUACAGGCGUGAGCCACCCGGCAACUUUCAUUUCUUUAUUGACUGUUUUCUUAGGAAGUGUCCAUCGAAGCCUCCCAGACUCACCUUUUCAGACCUUGUGGAGCCCGCAGCAGAAGCAAAUAGGUCAGCCCAUUCUUGGGGAACCUGGGCCAGGGAGCCUUGUGAGUAAAGAGACCCAGGCCAGGUGCCUGGGUCAGGGAGCCCAGGGGGCCUCAGGACGCCAGGGGCACCAGCAAGCAAAGAUAGCCGACAGGUGCCAAGGAAUGAUGGGGGAGCAGGGGAGGUCCCAGGCCCAGUUCCCUCAGUCACGCCUCCCCUGGAGGGAACAGGUGCUGUCCCAGGCCUGGGGUCUGUCAUCUUUCCCCCAUCAGGAGGGGCCAUGUAGAAGGGCACACUUAGGAGUGAGGUGGGUGGCAGGGCCUCCAGGGACAGAGGCAGGUGGGAGAGGGAGGCAGGCUGGGGUCGGGAAGGGCCCCGGCUCUGGACACAAGAGAUCACAACUGCAGUUUUAUGUCCGGCAUGUUGGAUGAAUGAGUGACUAUACCCAUGGGACACACAUCCUAAGCACUCACUGACCAUGCCAGACAUGGGCCAGCAUGGAAAGAAGGACGCGGUUCCCAGCCCCAAGGAGCUCCCAGUGCAGGGGUCACCCCUGUUGCUGGCUUGUCCACCAGAACCUCAGCCCUGACCACAGCUUUCUUCCUUGCUUCUAAGCUGCCCUCUAGCACUCCAGCCCCUGAGGGAGCUGCUGGGAGCUAGAGCCGCAGGAGGCUGGCCCUGCACGCUGCCCUCCCUGAGGCUUCCUGAGACCAUGACCCCUGCUGCUCCCAGAAGCCUUGCUUGCUCCCUGGUUGGAGGAGAUCCUGGGUGAAUCCAACCUCUGGCUGAAUGGUGGGGAGGCAGGCCCACUUGCUUGCUGUGGCAGAGACAGAAAAGCCCUGGUCUGCAGGGAGGGGGAGUGGGGGCGAUGAGCAACAGGUGCGAGGCCCCUCGGAAGGCAGAAGCCCUUGGAGCAGGGAGGCUCACAGUGGGGCCCACUACAGAGGGAGGACCCAGGUGGGGAUGAGUGUGAGGCUCCCCCAGCUCUCACUCCUGGCUGGGGAUGGAAAACAGUGGGGUGGCCGGGGAGUGGGAGGAUCCUGAGGCCCUCUUUCCCUCUGGAGAAGGCCUUGGGGGCUGCAGGGGGCUCCAGGCUACCAGCAUCCAAAUCACCAAACCACACAGCUUUGGGGCAAUUCCAUGAAAUGUAACCACAGUACUUUGGUGAAUUUAGCUUAGAUUGUUGCUGUUUUUAAUAAACUAUGAGGCUACCUGACUGAUCUCUGUGGCUCCUAAAGAGGAGGAAAGGGACUGCGAGCAGGUGGGGAGAGGGAUUGAAUCAGUGUGGAUGCUUCCACGGCACGGAGCAGAAAACUCAACCCCAACAGCACCAAGGAAAAUGUCACAUGACAAGACCUCCUGAGGAAGGGAGCACCGGGGUUGACUAAUUUAGCAAUUCAGUGACAUUAUGGUGGGCCAUGCUCCUUCCACGAUUCAACUCUGCUCCCCACUCAGUGUGUUCGCUUUGUCCUCAGACUCACACUCCUCAUGGUCUCGAGAUGGCUGCCAGUGUUCCAAACAUCACACACAAAUGACACCAUAGAAGAGCACCUCUCCCUCUGUGUCUUUUUUAUCAGUGAGAAACCCUUCCCAAAGCAUGCUUCCCCUCACAUCUUAUGGGCCAGAAUUGUAUCACAGGCCCACCUCUAGAUCAAUCAUUGACGAAGAGCCAUGUUUGUCUUAGAAUAAUUAGGAUUUACCCUUGAGUCAUGGAGUGAGUGUGGACAACAGCAAAACUGAGUCUUACCAGGGAGGAAGACUGAGUGGGGGAUGCUGAAGAGGUGACCCGCCUCCAGGACAGCACAGGCUGGGGCCUUCGGAACCACAGUGUCCCAGGGCCUGUAAGACCCACACACACUGAAUGCAAGCAAGGCUGGAAGGCCAGCCCUUGUCUGGGCCCUUAGGGUGACCCAACAGCACACACCUGGGAACCACUGAUGCUGGGAGAGGGGACCCUGGCUGGGGCCAGCCUGCAAAGAUGAUGGCCAAGGAAGCUAUGUGAAUCUGGAGUCAGACAGGCUGGGCCCCUGGGCCCUUCUGGGCUAAUACGGUCCAGCACGGAGUGAUGCCUGCUCCUCAGUCUGGGUUCUGCAGACAUCUGUCAAAUGAGGCCCUGCAGGAAAUAAUAAAUACAGCCUGACAGGGCUGGCCUCAGCUCAGAUGCCUCUCUGGAAAAGCCCAGCUCAACAGGUGUCUCUCUCCUCCCAUGCUCCCAGUAAAGACAGGAUCUUCAUGGGAUGGUCAAUGAGGGAAAAGUCUGCAUCCUCGGGGACAGCAUCCACUUCCUGCCAAGGAAUCGUCUCAUUGUUUUACAGCCCAGCGUCUUCCCUGAGACUCAUGAGGCCCUCCCCUCAACUACGAGCGAGGCCACAAGGGAAGAGGCAGGAAUGGGCCCUGCCAGGGUCGUGUCUCCUCAUGUCAUUAGCUGCUGCUGAUGGAAAGUCGAAUGACCCUCGGUGGGAGGUGGUGUGAGGAGGAACACGCAGGCUGCUUACCUGGGCUGAAACGGGGCUGUUCCUUCUCAUCUCUGGCUGCAGUGUCAUUUGCUUUUUUUUUGGAAACAGAGUCUCACUCUGUUGCCCAGGCUGGAGUGCAAUGGCAUAAUCUCAGCUCACUGCAACCUCCACCUCCUGGGUUCAAGUGAUUUUCCUGCCUCAACCUCCCGAGUAGCUGAGACUACAAACCCAUGCCACCACCCCCAGCUAAUUAUUUGUAUUUUUAGGAGAGAUGGGGUUUUACGGUGUUAGCCAGGAUGGUCUUGAUCUCCUGACCUCAUGAUUCCGCCAGCCUCGGCCUCCCAAAGUGCUGGGGUUACAGGCAUGAGCCACCGCACCUAGCCGUCAUUUGCUUUUUAAGAGGAGCCCAGGAAGGCCACAUAACCGGCUCCAGACGGGGAAUGAACUUUGUAGCCUUCAGAUAUUUCAAGGUCAGCUCAGGCGGAGUAGUUGUGGAAAGUUCUUUUUAACUUUCAAAUUAUUUUUCUCAUCUAUGAGCUCAUUUGAUUCUCUUCACAGGCCUGGAAGACAGUGGACCCGGGGAUUUUUACUCAUUUGGCAGAUGAGAGAGCUGAGUGACUUGCCUGAGGUCCUGCUUUGGAAGAGUGAUAGCUCUGAGCUUAGAAUCCUCUGAGACCUAGGCUGUUCCACUGGACCAUUUGGGGUGCUCCUUUGAGGGUGAGCAGGCCUCCAAAUGGGAGGGGGCUUUCAGAGACCCAGGCCCUCCAACACCAAUGCCCAGAUGUCAUGAGACCCUUUCUGGAGGCAUCCAGCUGUCCUGUCAUUGGCAGAAGCUUCAUCCGAAAAGUUGGCAGACACGGUGUCGGUUGUGACAUGGUGAUUGAACUUAGUUCCCAAUGACGUGUUUGGUAUGGUGCAAGAUUGGGACUGGUCUUUAGCAAUAUAAUUGUAGAGGAUUGGUGGGGACAGAGGGUCACUGGUGCCUGGCAGAGCUGCCCAAGCGUUUUCAUCAAAAGUGAGGCAGGACUCCACCCAGCUGGCCCCAUGAAUAGAAAGGGCACACUGCCUAACUUUCUGGGACACCCAGAGCCGUGAGCCUCCCCGCCUGGCCCCGUAGCAGCUGUUGCAUCUGCUGAGCCCUCCUGAAGGAUGUGUGCUUCCCUUGACCACAGAAGGCAAGCCCAUUUCCAGGCAUCCUUGGUACCUAGUUGCCUGGGGAUGCCCCAGUUCCUGACAGGGCUGAGCCAGCCUCAGUUCUGCCAUAGGCAUGUGCUGGCCCCGUCUGGGUGGGUGAGGAUGGCGGCCCUUGGCUCCCUUGCUCAGAAGCCUCUUGCUUCCCUUCCCAGCCCCCAGGUCCAUGUGCCUGGGAAGCUGCUCCGAAACUGUCCUGGCCCCACUCCCCUCUAAACCUUUGACUCUGGGAAAGGCUCGUUCCAAAUGGACAGAACCUCCUUCGACUUUCACCUCGAAACUAGAAAUUGAAGUUUCAAUUUGCUGUUACAGCACCUGCAACUGGGAGUCUCCCCAUCCUAGAUCCCUCCCUCCAAGGGGCAGGAGGCAGCCCCAAGGUGCUCAGCGAGUGGAAGGUGUGGCUCUCAGACACCAAGGUCUUCCCAUGGGCCUGCCGAGAGGAGGAUGUGUUCCGGAGACACAGAGCAGGGUGCUUUGCCAGCUGAGGAUGCAAACUAGGGGGAAAUGAGCUGAAGCGACUCCAGGUCUCCGUCUUCUGUGCACCAGCAGGGACUCCUGUCCUCUCAUGGAAACUUGCCAUCCUGUGUCCCAUUGCCGAAGAUCACCUCACAGCUGAAAAAGGAGCCUGUGAUAAGCGUUCGGGAUUGAGCAGAUCGUACGUAUUUGCAAUGCUACUGGAGAUGGAGGGAGGAAAUGCCAUAGCCCAGUGGAAUGAACAGCAUGGGUGAUGUGGCUCAUGGCAGAGAGACGGGCGGGGGAGGGCAGGGGCCAAGUCGUUCCUUCACCACCCUCACUCCUUACGCCUGUGCCCAGAGCCAGCCCUGCCCUGGAGGCGAGGAGAAAGGCCCAGAGCUUUGCCCCUGAUUCCCCCAGCUCCGGCCCACACCACCUGCCAUCCAUGCACGCAAAGCCAGGCCUCUGGAAUUGUGCUGCCAGGCCCUGGGCUGGAAGAGAAAGGGCUGCCAGGGCUUAAGUCCAAGGGAAGCCCACGAGCUUCAUAUUUAGAACUUGAGUCUUUCAAGGUCUGAGUCUAUUUAGACUCCUAGAAACACAACCUCCAUUCCUUAAACAUAACUGGCGAGUGGUGGGUGGGGAGUGCAGGGAGAGAGCAUAAAACAUCUCAUAAAAAGGCUGUGCGUCCUGCUGGACAUCAAAGGGCUCCCAAGGAGUGCAUGCGGAUGAGUUCAGGAUAGAGGAGUCAUCAGCAUAUGGAUUAAAUUCCCUAUUCAUUAUGCAUCCGCCGGAGCAUCAGGAGAAAACUUCACACAGCGUGGCCCCAGUUCAACGAGCUGGAAAACGCUCUGAGUCACGGAGGGACCCCAAAGGCAAUCAGCCACUCCCCACCAUCCUGAAUCUUCUUCCGCUGUGGAAAGACCUACCUCCUGCAGUGCUAGAGGAAACCGGCUGUGCUAAUUCAGAAAGGCUGGCCCUCCUCACCAUGGUCAGCCCCUCCAUGCCUCUCCAAGGUCUGCUGCAGCCCGGCCAGCUCACCCAGAUAUAGCUGGGCCCUCCCCUGUAUUUGGCCCCUCCUGGCUCUCCCCACUGCCACCCCAGGACUGUGACCCUACUGCCCAUCCCUGUCCCUACAACGGCAACCUGGGCCUGCUUGGAGGAGAGGGAGGGGAGAAAGGUGCCCGGCGCCCGUCCAGCAGGCCUGUCCUGCUCAGGCAGGGCUUUCUACUGAUGGAGGACCCGGCACAUCUCUUCCUUAUGCUCAUCCCAGCCCACCUCACAGGCCAACCCCUUUUUAUCUUCAGUAACCUUCUCCUCUUCCAAAGUCAUCCCAGCAUCCAGGCCUUCUUGAAAUCCCCAUGCCCCACAAAGCGCAAGGCCUAAAGUGCUCACUCACCCGCUGUCUAGAGUUAGUGGGAGGCUCUGAUAGCAUGUGCGGCAUUUGGCCAGAGGACCCAGCCAUGCAAGAUUCCUGCUCUGUGAAUUGCUGCACCUCCUCCGGGCUCCUCAGGAGAUGUGUACACAGAAGACCGAUAGCAAGGUGGCCUCAGGAGCCCACUUCAGGAAUGGAGGACUUAGUUCCCCAGCUGUUCAGAUGUCUCCAGCGCUCCCUGUCUUCUUCCUGCAGGCAGGAAGACAGCCCCCUUGCCCAAGGGCACGCCCCUUCCUCAAGGGACACAUCAAUGGCUGAUUGGUGGUGCUGAGGUACAAAGGCUUGGGGACACACCUCCAAUGCAAAUCUCUAUCUCAGCUGCUUCCCAGGGAACCCCACCUGUGACAUACCAAGCAGGAAACUGAGACAGAACCUCUUCACUAAAAACUGGUCUCUCAUCCAGUAUCGCCCCGUGCAGAGUUCCGGGAAAGCUAAGGCACAGAAAGCACCACUUUGGUCCUCCGGAAUGGGGAGGCUGCCUAUCUCCCCACAAGCACAAAUCCACAUCUCUCUGGCCAGCCAUGCCCAAAACCACACACUCUGCAUGCAGAGGAAAGAAACCGCAGUCUGAGAAUAAACUCGGGCGCUCUUCCUGUGCCAAGAGAGACAGACGACAGCAAAGGAGGUGGCCUGUUCACAGCAGGUGCUUUGCAAGUGCAGGACCUUGCCUACCAGCAAAGGUGGCCCACUGGGGGGCUUUGCCAUCUGACUAGAGCAGGAGCUUCUCCUCUCUCAGAGCUGAUGAGUGCACGGAGGGAGGCCCAUGCAGGAAGGAAGGUCUCCUCUUCCCUUCUGAUUUGGAGCUGAGCCCAGGGCUCACCCAAACCAAGUUCCAGGCCCAGCUUCAGAGAGUAUUUUAUGAAGCAGACAUUCACUGCAGUCCUAGGCGCCUUUGUUUUCUCAGCUAUAAAGUGGCACCAGUGGCCCCAUCCCGCUGGCUCAUGGGUUGGGGUGAGGACAUGCUGGGAGAGUAGUGGAAAGGCUCCCCGCACUGUGAGGGGUGCACACACAUGGAACCGACUGUUACGGUGAUGAUGAAUGGUUUUGCCUUCCCCUCCAGAGUCCACUUCUCAGGAGGGCCGGGAUUAGGCUUCACAUCUGGGUUUCCCUCCAGCCAGCAGAACCAGCCUGGACACAGGUGUUCCCCGAAGCUGGCUGGAUGAUGAACUAAGGACUGAAACCAUCAGGAAGACGGAUGAUGACUCGGCGUGGGGCGAGCCUGGACCAGCUGCUAGGGACCUUCACACAGCACUCUUUUCCAUCAACGUUUCACUACUGCUGUCCUAACAUCCACAGCUUGCCGUUGGUUUUCCGUGUUGUUUGUGGCUAGCCUGAGAGUCUGGGAAGGACAGGAAGAGGGAAGCACAGCAAUUGCUCACAGGGGCUCUGUGCACUUUACCUCCCCGAUGGCCUGCAGAAGCAGUGUCACCACUGCGGGGCCAGCACUGUGCUCUGGCACACAGCUGAGCUGGGGGUGGGAACCAGGGCUCGAGCCCAGCCUGUAGUCCACUCCCCAAGCUCUGCCCAGGGGAGCAAUUUUUUCUGGUCACACAAAGAUGCUCUAUAGGUUGGCAGUCCCCAGAUACCUAACCCCUCUGAGGCAUGGUGCCAUUUUACAGAGGAGAAACUGAGGCUCAGAGAAGUUCACUUGCCCAAGGUCACACCACAGGUGAGUAGUGGAGCCAGGCAAGUACACUUUAGGCUGGGCUUGAGCCCUGGCCUCCUGGAGUCCGAUAGACUCUACUCCUUACAGAAUGUGGGUGUGGACUCCACUUCUUACAGAGUGUGGACACUGUGGCCACCUCCACAGAUGUCAGACAGAGGCUCUCUUCACAGGCUGGCUAUGCACAACCCCACCUUACAAUUCAGGCACACAGAUAAUUCCUUACAUGAUGUGUUAUUUACAGUCCUUCUGAUUUCAAGUAAGAGCAGCCAAACGAGCAAAAGAGAAAAACUUUAUUGGAAAGACACUGAGAGACCUGAAGGAAAUGAAAAAUCCCAAAAGAACAGAAUCCAAGAUUGUCCAGGACAGCUCUGAGGAUCUCAGAGUUGGAAAUGGAUUGCCUUUCAUCCAGAACCCGGCAUGAGCUGGACUUGGCUUUCAGUCUCUGUGUUACAUUUCCAGGUUCCUAAGAGAGAAAGCGAGCGUGUUGGGCAACCUGGGUCAAGUGUUUCCUUCAGUGAAUCAUUUCCUGAGGCCAGGGCCCCUGUGACAUCGUGAUUACCUGCAGCCUAACACUGUGAUCACGGGCAGUCACCACGUGGGGGAUGUAUACACCACCCUUAGAUGCAGCGAGAGGGACUACUGCCCAGCCUCCAGGCUUCAGAAGGCCCUGCAUAUUACGAACGCGUGCGCACGCGCACACAUACACACACACCAACACACACUUCUUUAUUUCAUUUUAUUUAUUUAUUUUUUGAGAUGGAGUUUCACUCUUGUCGCCCAGGCUGGAGUGCAAUGGCAUGAUCUCAGCUCACUGAAAGCUUUGCCUCCCGGGUUCAAGAGAUUCUCCUGCGUCAGCCUCCCACGUAGCUGGGAUUUCAGGCAUGUGCCACCACACCUGGCUAAUUUUGUGUUUUUAGUAGAGAUGGGGUUUCUCCAUGUUGGUCAGGCUGGUCUGGAACUCCCAACCUCAGGUGAUCCACCCGCCUAGGCCUCCCAAAGUGCUGGGAGCCACCACGCCCAGCUGCACACACUUUUCAGAAACACACAGGAUCCAGGCCUCAGUGCUGGCAGAUAACGAGGUUAAACAUCAAUUCUCAUGACUGGCAUUGCUCAGGCCCCAGGGAAAUCCAUUUCUUUAUCUCUUGCUUAAUGUCCUCAACAAAAAAGGCAUCUGAAUGCUGGAAAACUUGUGAGUUACACCUAUGCAGAUGUCAGGUAGACACUGCUUCCAAAUGGAAGGAGAAUUUGCAUGGUGGAAGCUCUUCCCUAAGAGAAAAUACAAACUAUUUCACUUGUUAAAUCCUCUCAGCAUGAAUGCAAUAGAUCUUUAAUGACUUAUGUUUAGUAACAAAAUAUUGUUUCCUAGUAACAUUGAGCAUCAAUUUUUCUUCUCUUCCUGUUCCAAUUCAUGAUUCUGAAGGCACCUGAUAGUUAGCAUACUUUCACAAUAGUGGAGUUGAUAUUUCGCAUAAUCAGUUGAGAAAUACAUUGCAGUAUUAAACAGUUCGUUUUGCUCUUCAAUGAGUAUACAUGUAGGUCUACAUUAGAAGUAAUAUGAUGAAGUGUAAUAUCAGUGCUUUCUGUUAGUGACUAGAUGCACGCAGAAUGCCAGAAUUGUGGAUAAUCUUUGUUUUGUAAAAUCACUUAAUAUGACUUUCUUAAAUUUUCAAAAUAUUAAUUAAAAACUUCAGCUUUACUUAAAUAAUUUUACUUAAUUUAAUUUAAUUUACUUAAAUAAAUAAGCUUUUGAUAUCCAUUCAUUAGAGUUGUAUUUUCUCUUUCAAUUGUCAGAGAGAAUUGUGAAUAUUUUAAGGAAGAUGCUUUUUUGAAAACAUACGUUUUUAAAUGUUUUUGAUUCUAUUUACCAUAAUUUAGGAUUUUUUAUAAAAAAAUAAAUUCAAAUUUUGUACACUAAAUGCAAUCACCUUUUUUUUUUUCAUUAUAUAGUCUAGCAUUGACAAACUUUUUCUUAGUGGGCUAGAUAAUAAAUACGGCAGGCAGACAAUAUGGUCUCUACCACAAACAGUCGGCUCUGUCAUUGCAGCAUAAAAGCAGCCACGAUAAAACAUAAGUGACUGUGUGCCUAUGUUCCAAUAAGACUUCAUUUACAAAACUAUUUGUUUAUAUAUUGUUUCAUAUGUAAAAAUUGUUUUGAUAUCGAGAUUAAUAAAAAUGCUCGUUAAUCAACUAUGAACAAAGAUAGAAUGCCAAAUCUGGCUGGGCACAGUGGCUCACGCCUGUAAUCUCAGCAGUUUGGGAAGCCAAAGCAGGCAGAUCACCUGAGGUCAGGAGAUUGAGACCAUCCUGGCUAACAUGGUGAAACCCUGCCUCUACUAAAAAUACAAAAAUUAGCUGGGCGUGGCGGCGUGCACCUGUAAUCCCAGCUACUUGGGAGGCUGUGAGCUGAGAUCAUGCCACCGCACUCCAGCCUGGCAACAGAGCAAGAUGCUGUCUCAAAAAAAAAAAAACACACACACACAAAAGAAUGCCAAAUGCCAAAUCUGGCUAUAGUGUUCACUGAAUAUUAAUAUUCAAAAAUCAGUUUUGAUGAAGUCUUUGGCAAACGUGCAGAAGUUAAAGCUGAAAAUAAAAAUCUGUGAUGUUCUUGAUUACUGUCACAGUCUAAUGCUUUUUAAAAAGAUUCUUCCCCUUUUCAAAAAAAUUUUAAUUCAAACGUAUUAAUACAUGAUCUCUCUUUUGUACAGCAUAUUAAUUUUAUUUUUUAUUUAAGAAAAUGUUUGACCAUCAUGAUCUAUAUAUUACAUAUAUAAAAUUCAAUGAAAGAAACAUUUCACUGUCUGUACCUCUUUUCUUGCCAUUAUUAUUAUCAACUUCAUUUCAUGAUGAUUUUCUGAGACUCCAGUAUAUAAUGGAAGGGGUGUGAAAACAGGAGCCACUCUGGGCCAUGACAUGCUGGAGCGAGCUUGCUGUGGCUCAUGAGAACUGAUGGUGAGGUCUCUUCCCAGUUCUGUGUCCAUAGCUUGAAAUCAGCCACAAUGGGAGUAUUUACACCAUGAAAAUCUACGAACACCACAAAUGAGUCCUGGGGCCCCCAGGGAGCUGGCUGUUAAAUAUUUGCCAGUCCACCUCUGACUCUGCUUCUCAAUAUGCUGGGUACAGACCUGCGUGGGCCCAGUCCUGUUUGGGUCCCUCUUAUGUAGCAAUGGAAUGCUGCGUACUCAGUCUUUCUGUUUGGCAGAGCCGAUAACACCCAGCGAAUAAGGAGAGGUGCAAGGCGCAUGGCUGUCUGUCAUCUUCUGGUCAGGUAUGCAGUUUCUCUCCUUGGGCCCAGUAUUCUGCAAGGAGCUAAUUGACAAAAGGAGACUAGGUGCCUGCUGAACAGAUCAGAGCUUUGCUCUGCAAUCUUAGGGGUUGCUUUGCUCUGCAAUCUUCAGUUAUGAUUCUCUCUCAGUGCUUUCAAAACCCUGACCUACUUAAGAAACUUAGCACCAUUGGAUCUACUGGGUUAUAAGGCACACGGGACAGAGCUGCUUAUAGCCUGGGCCAGCUUAAGAGAUUUCUCUUGCUGUGCGCCCCACCCAGACUGAGGAGCUGAUGGCUUACUCAUAAAUGAGAUGGACGAACACAACACAAUGAAACAGUGUGUGUGCCUUACAAAGCCUAAAGGGUUCUCAAAGCCUCAUGCCUUCUCUUUGUGCAAGGGGAUAAAUUGAAACAACUUCUUCACUUAGUAGCAAAUAUCCCAAUAUGUUCCAGACCACUAGAAUCCCAGAAACUUCAGUGAGGUGGCCUCGUAUUAGUAUGGAGUUUAUCACCUGUCUUACAUCACACAUAUGCCUUAUAAAGGCAUGUAAGUACAUGUUCUUUCUACUUCCCCUGGCCUCCUAGCUUGAUGUCUGCAAUGCUGGAGACUAGCAUUACAUCAUCGGAGAUGGUGACACAAGUACAGUGAAUUGUGCCACCAAGCCAGGAGCCUAAUGGAAUCAGAGAGCAGAUGGUGAAGACGUACUGCUAUCCUUUCCAGGUAAAGUCAAACUACUGAAUUCCUGAUGCUUUUAUGUUCACGGGAAUUUUCUUUAAAUGACCAACUGUGAUGCCAUGGGCUGUGUAAAUUUGUAAAUAUUCCUCAUCUUAAAAUAGCAACUGCAAUUGAGGUUACCACUUGAAUGAGUUUACAAUAA
Molecule: long non-coding RNA, 11552 nt
Organism: Callithrix jacchus (white-tufted-ear marmoset)
Lineage: Eukaryota; Metazoa; Chordata; Mammalia; Primates; Cebidae
Source: RefSeq, a predicted model, not a curated record